UGCCAGACUCCUACGGGAGGCAGCAGUGGGGAAUAUUGCACAAUGGGGGAAACCCUGAUGCAGCGACGCCGCGUGAGUGAGGAAGUAUUUCGGUAUGUAAAGCUCUAUCAGCAGGGAAGAAAAUGACGGUACCUGACCAAGAAGCCCCGGCUAACUACGUGCCAGCAGCCGCGGUAAUACGUAGGGGGCAAGCGUUAUCCGGAUUUACUGGGUGUAAAGGGAGCGUAGACGGCAGCGCAAGUCUGAAGUGAAAUCCCGUGGCUUAACCAUGGAACUGCUUUGGAAACUGUGCAGCUGGAGUGCAGGAGAGGUAAGCGGAAUUCCUAGUGUAGCGGUGAAAUGCGUAGAUAUUAGGAGGAACACCAGUGGCGAAGGCGGCUUACUGGACUGUAACUGACGUUGAGGCUCGAAAGCGUGGGGAGCAAACAGGAUUAGAUACCCCCGUA
This 446-nucleotide ribosomal RNA is filed under the name uncultured bacterium. RNAcentral describes it as "bacterial SSU rRNA". It matches the Rfam family "Bacterial small subunit ribosomal RNA", at positions 329 to 792 of the family's 1533-position model. The record is from RNAcentral.